Molecule: ribosomal RNA, 498 nt
Filed under: uncultured Streptococcus sp.
Lineage: Bacteria; Bacillati; Bacillota; Bacilli; Lactobacillales; Streptococcaceae
Description: bacterial SSU rRNA
Rfam family: Bacterial small subunit ribosomal RNA
Source: RNAcentral
GACGAACGCUGGCGGCGUGCCUAAUACAUGCAAGUAGAACGCUGAAGAGAGGAGCUUGCUCUUCUUGGAUGAGUUGCGAACGGGUGAGUAACGCGUAGGUAACCUGCCUGGUAGCGGGGGAUAACUAUUGGAAACGAUAGCUAAUACCGCAUAAUAGUAGAUGUAGCAUGACAUUUGCUUAAAAGGUGCAAUUGCAUCACUACCAGAUGGACCUGCGUUGUACUAGCUAGUUGGUGAGGUAACGGCUCACCAAGGCAACGAUACAUAGCCGACCUGAGAGGGCGAUCGGCCACACUGGGACUGAGACACGGCCCAGACUCCUACGGGAGGCAGCAGUAGGGAAUCUUCGGCAAUGGACGGAAGUCUGACCGAGCAACGCCGCGUGAGUGAAGAAGGUUUUCGGAUCGUAAAGCUCUGUUGUAAGAGAAGAACGAGUGUGAGAGUGGAAAGUUCACACUGUGACGGUAUCUUACCAGAAAGGGACGGCUAACUACGUGC